GGCACAAACAGUAUUUUAGCCUCGUGCUCUUUAAAAAUGCUUCUUAAUUGCUAGUAUGCUCAGUAAUUUUAUGUAAGAUCAAAUUAUGUUGUUGGAUCAAAUUUUCAUGUUUAGCAUGAUCUAUAAGAUGAGGAGGGGCUUGCUGCAAGAUAGAAAGGUCAUUUCAACAUCAGAAAGUCGUUGGUUGAGAGUUUUUUUUCUUUUUCUUCCUUACCCAUUUCUUGAUAGUGC
This 231-nucleotide long non-coding RNA is filed under the name Sorghum bicolor (sorghum). RNAcentral describes it as "long non-coding RNA (SBIC_LNC007935)". Lineage: Eukaryota; Viridiplantae; Streptophyta; Magnoliopsida; Poales; Poaceae. The record is from RNAcentral.